ACUGCAGAAUCUAGAUUUUGAUUCUAUAGCUCUCGAAAACCUCCCGUAACUCACUUUUAAUCAUUUUAACACCUUCGGACUUUCCAAAAUGUACCGUCCUCGCACUUUGGUCAAUUUGACUAAAGUUCGAUAUUUAUUUUUUGAAUUUUCGGUAUAUUACAUUCUCCACCCCUUAAAAUAAUUUCGUCCGCGAAAUUACGCAUACCUUAACUUGUCGAUUCAAAUAAAUGCGGAUACUCUCGCCGCAUGGUUUCCUCGA
RNAcentral lists this long non-coding RNA (259 nucleotides) under Ananas comosus (pineapple). RNAcentral's name for it is "long non-coding RNA (ACOM_LNC036299)". The record is from RNAcentral. Lineage: Eukaryota; Viridiplantae; Streptophyta; Magnoliopsida; Poales; Bromeliaceae.